AAAGCUGUACUCUUGGAGCAAGAUAUUUGAUGCCAGAUUUGGAAAUAAAAAUUGGCUACCCUUGCAGAACGUCUGCUGCAUUGGUCAUGUCAGCCAGGAAACGCACAGUCUUCUUACUGAUCGUUUACAAGUGGGAACCUUUUAUUCUCAGCAUGGUAGGAACUUGUCAGAAUGUCAUGGAGAUCAAUGAAUUAACUGUGGAUUAACGUGAUUGGAAACGAGAGGCAAGUUUGACCCACUGUCUGUCGGAAAGGAAACUGGAAGUAAUGAGACUAGCGUCCAACGAGACCAACAGAACUGGAAGAUGGGCUGCUACUUGAAAAUAGCACAGUAAGAUCAUGAGAGCCAUUGCAGCUCCAGGAUUGCUGUGGCUAAUACAUGGAUUGCAAAGCAGGGAAUUUCUUCUCCCUCAUACUCUCCCUUAGCUGCCUCACACAGCUUCUGAGAAAGAGCUGGGCAGAUAAAUUAGCCUGAAUGCAAUUAAAACUAGAAAGUGUUUGGCUCUAAUGUUUCUUUCUAAAUUCAGUCAGGAAUUGUAACAAAUAGGUACAACUGGUAGCUUUCCCCAGCUAAUGGAGUAAUACCGGGGCUGAGCUUUUCCUGUUCUGUCUGCUCUCUGGAAAACUAUGUACUUCAUAACAUGUUCAGAGAUGACAUUGAUGCCAGGUCACACAGCACUGGCUGAGAAGCAUUGAU
This 696-nucleotide long non-coding RNA is filed under the name Dromaius novaehollandiae (emu). RNAcentral describes it as "lncRNA (ENSDNVG00000003638.1)". Lineage: Eukaryota; Metazoa; Chordata; Aves; Casuariiformes; Dromaiidae. The record is from RNAcentral.